AUGAACGCUGGCGGCGUGCCUAAUACAUGCAAGUCGAGCGGACAGACGAGGAGCUUGCUCCUCUGACGUUAGCGGCGGACGGGUGAGUAACACGUGGAUAACCUACCUAUAAGACUGGGAUAACUUCGGGAAACCGGAGCUAAUACCGGAUAAUAUAUUGAACCGCAUGGUUCAAUAGUGAAAGACGGUUUUGCUGUCACUUAUAGAUGGAUCCGCGCCGCAUUAGCUAGUUGGUAAGGUAACGGCUUACCAAGGCAACGAUGCGUAGCCGACCUGAGAGGGUGAUCGGCCACACUGGAACUGAGACACGGUCCAGACUCCUACGGGAGGCAGCAGUAGGGAAUCUUCCGCAAUGGGCGAAAGCCUGACGGAGCAACGCCGCGUGAGUGAUGAAGGUCUUCGGAUCGUAAAACUCUGUUAUUAGGGGAGAACAAAUGUGUAAGUAACUAUGCACGUCUUGACGGUACCUAAUCAGAAAGCCACGGCUAACUACGUG
This 496-nucleotide ribosomal RNA is filed under the name uncultured bacterium. Its description in RNAcentral is "partial 16S ribosomal RNA". It matches the Rfam family "Bacterial small subunit ribosomal RNA", at positions 29 to 507 of the family's 1533-position model. The record is from RNAcentral.